GAUCAUGGCUCAGGAUGAACGCUAGCGACAGGCUUAACACAUGCAAGUCGAGGGGCAGCGAGGGCGUAGCAAUACGCCUGUCGGCGACCGGCGCACUGGUGAGUAACACGUAUGCGACCUGCCCCCAUACGAGGGUACUAACCCGUAGAAUGCGGACUAACUCCCCAUACGUCCCGGCGGGCUGCAUGGCCUGGACGGGGGAAAGGCCAGCCGGGUAGGGGAUGGGCAUGCGGCGCAUUAG
RNAcentral lists this ribosomal RNA (241 nucleotides) under uncultured bacterium. Its description in RNAcentral is "partial 16S ribosomal RNA". It matches the Rfam family "Bacterial small subunit ribosomal RNA", at positions 15 to 244 of the family's 1533-position model. The record is from RNAcentral.